UAUACUCUUUACUGGACAGUGGCAUAGGAGUAAUCUGAAGAUGGAAUGGAAGACCAGGGGAUUGCUUCCUUCGUACAGACUCGCUAGUGGCAUAAGAUGCCCAGAUAUGUACUGAAAAAACUUGAUCAUGAAGAGGCAGAAGUUUCUGCACUUAAUUAAAUAUGUCACAAGAGAUUAGAUCCAGCAUACCUGUGUUUGUAGAGGUAAAAUGCAAACCCUGAUAAUAUUAGAGCAAAGAACGG
Molecule: non-coding RNA, 242 nt
Organism: Podarcis muralis (Common wall lizard)
Lineage: Eukaryota; Metazoa; Chordata; Lepidosauria; Squamata; Lacertidae
Source: RefSeq, a predicted model, not a curated record